Molecule: ribosomal RNA, 420 nt
Filed under: uncultured Anaerotruncus sp.
Lineage: Bacteria; Bacillati; Bacillota; Clostridia; Eubacteriales; Oscillospiraceae
Description: bacterial SSU rRNA
Rfam family: Bacterial small subunit ribosomal RNA
Source: RNAcentral
UGGGGAAUAUUGCACAAUGGCGCAAGCCUGAUGCAGCGAUGCCGCGUGAGGGAAGAAGGUUUUCGGAUUGUAAACCUCUGUCAUCAGGGACGAAAAAGACGGUGCCUGAGAAGGAAGCUCCGGCUAACUACGUGCCAGCAGCCGCGGUAAUACGUAGGUGGCAAGCGUUGUCCGGAAUUACUGGGUGUAAAGGGAGAGUAGGCGGGAUUGCAAGUCCGUUGUUAAAUCUAUCGGCUUAACCGGUAGCUGCGGCGGAAACUGUAGUUCUUGAGUGAAGUAGAGGCAGGCGGAAUUCCUAGUGUAGCGGUGAAAUGCGUAGAUAUUAGGAGGAACACCAGUGGCGAAGGCGGCCUGCUGGGCUUUAACUGACGCUGAGGCUCGAAAGUGUGGGGAGCAAACAGGAUUAGAUACCCUGGUACU